Molecule: transfer RNA, 67 nt
Filed under: Marmota monax (woodchuck)
Lineage: Eukaryota; Metazoa; Chordata; Mammalia; Rodentia; Sciuridae
Description: tRNA.Val
Source: RNAcentral
GGUUAUAGUUCAGUGGUAGAAUGCUUGCCUCACACAUGUGAGGCACUGGGUUCAAUCCUCAGCACCA